GAAUGCUGACAUAAGUAACGAUAAAGCGGGUGAAAAGCCCGCUCGCCGGAAGACCAAGGGUUCCUGUCCAACGUUAAUCGGGGCAGGGUGAGUCGACCCCUAAGGCGAGGCCGAAAGGCGUAGUCGAUGGGAAACAGGUUAAUAUUCCUGUACUUGGUGUUACUGCGAAGGGGGGACGGAGAAGGCUAUGUUGGCCGGGCGACGGUUGUCCCGGUUUAAGCGUGUAGGCUGGUUUUCCAGGCAAAUCCGGAAAACCAAGGCUGAGGCGUGAUGACGAGGCACUACGGUGCUGAAGCGACAAAUGCCCUGCUUCCAGGAAAAGCCUCUAAGCAUCAGGUAACAUCAAAUCGUACCCCAAACCGACACAGGUGGUCAGGUAGAGAAUACCAAGGCGCUUGAGAGAACUCGGGUGAAGGAACUAGGCAAAAUGGUGCCGUAACUUCGGGAGAAGGCACGCUGAUAUGUAGGUGAAGCGACUUGCUCGUGGAGCUGAAAUCAGUCGAAGAUACCAGCUGGCUGCAACUGUUUAUUAAAAACACAGCACUGUGCAAACACGAAAGUGGACGUAUACGGUGUGACGCCUGCCCGGUGCCGG
RNAcentral lists this ribosomal RNA (595 nucleotides) under Escherichia coli. RNAcentral describes it as "partial 23S ribosomal RNA". It matches the Rfam family "Bacterial large subunit ribosomal RNA", at positions 1292 to 1872 of the family's 2925-position model. The record is from RNAcentral. Lineage: Bacteria; Pseudomonadati; Pseudomonadota; Gammaproteobacteria; Enterobacterales; Enterobacteriaceae.